RNAcentral lists this non-coding RNA (951 nucleotides) under Hiatella sp. J HML-2015. The record is from RNAcentral. RNAcentral also lists the same sequence under 1 other name. Lineage: Eukaryota; Metazoa; Mollusca; Bivalvia; Adapedonta; Hiatellidae.
CGAUUAUUUGGUCAUAGUAAAAAGUUGCCGGCCUCUAAUUGAGAGAUAUGGUAUUUUUUGAGAAUUUGGGAAGACAGUCGAACGUGGCGAAUUAAAAGUGCAGCAGGACUGCUUAUCAAAUAUUAUAGUAAGAACUUUAAUGCUAUGUCAGGUUUAAGACAAGUGUUUCAUAUAGUUUGGAAUUCCUAAGUAAUAUUCCCCAACUCCAAUACUGAGAUUUAUCAAAUAAAGAAAUUUAGAAUCAGAACAUGAGGGGGAAAGGGAGGAAAUAAAGUGCCAGCACCUGCGGUUAAACUUUUCCCUUUGGUAAAUUAAGACGUAGUGAAGUAACAAUUUAUUAAUUAGGAGUACAACCCAUCAGUUUUGGUUGAAUAUAAAAUCUGGGGUAAGGGUUUCACAUUCCUAAAAAUUUCACUCUUAUAAACCUGUUAUAAAAACCUGGGAUAGAUAUCCAGCUAUUUAAGGCUCGAAAUAAGACUGCGGCGACUACGAACGUAACGAGUUUAAAAGUUAAAGGACUUGGCGGUGCAUCAUAUCCUGUUAGGGGAACUUGGCGGUUAAACCGAUGAUCCUCGUAUUACUUUACCCCUUCUUUCUUCCUAUACCGCCGUUUAGCCUCACCUUGACGGAGUUGAGUAUGGCAAUUAAAAUAAGAAGAAGUUAACUCGCUUAGAAGUUAAAAACUAUGGGAAUAAAAUGUUUCGAUAUUUCUAGUAAUUCAGGUAGACGUGGGGGGUAUGAAGGGGGCUUAGCUGAGUUACAUUUUUAAAAGAAGGCGGAUUUAAUAAUUGAAAUAGAGUAAUAAAGUUGGACUUAAUAGUAAAACUCCAUAAGAGAGAGGGUUUGAAUAGUGUUUUGAUGCGCGUACAAACCGCCCGGUGCUCCCGUAUAUACUGAAGAUGGGAUAAGCCGUAACAUGGCAGUGCUACCGGAAGCUGGUGCUAUACAAGU